Molecule: ribosomal RNA, 451 nt
Filed under: uncultured bacterium
Lineage: Bacteria
Description: bacterial SSU rRNA
Rfam family: Bacterial small subunit ribosomal RNA
Source: RNAcentral
CAGUGGGGAAGUAUUGCACAAUGGGGGAAACCCUGAUGUCAGCCAUGCCGCGUGUGUGUAAGAAGGCUUCGGGUUGUAAAGCACUUUCAGUAGGGAGGAAGGUAGUGUAGUUAACACCUGCAUUAUUUGACGUUACCUACAGAAGAAGCACCGGCUAACUCCGUGCCAGCAGCCGCGGUAAUACGGAGGGUGCGAGCGUUAAUCGGAAUUACUGGGCGUAAAGCGCAUGCAGGCGGCCUGUUAAGUCAGAUGUGAAAGCCCGGGGCUUAACCUCGGAAUUGCAUUUGAAACUGGCAGGCUAGAGUCUUGUAGAGGGGGUAGAAUUUCAGGUGUAGCGGUGAAAAUGCGUAGAGAUCUGAAGGAAUACCAGUGGCGAAGGCGGCCCCCUGGACAAAGACUGACGCUCAGAUGCGAAAGCGUGGGGAGCAAACAGGAUUAGAUACCCUGGUAG